CCCUCUCAGCGCACGUCCCGGUUGUCGUUCCUUCUAUUUCUGCACCUUUUCUUUGGUUGACAUGGUGGUUGAUGUGGUCUCUGCCUCCUCUGUCUGACAGGGAGCCCAGGGGACCCACAGUGCCCGGCUGACUCCAUUGUGCUCCUGAGCUUGCGCCUGGCGCACAGCCCGUGCUAACGUACAGUAGAAGGAGCUGCAGAAAUUGCUAGCAAGGGAGGGAGUGCUGGAGGCUGGAAGUCCACGGUCAACACACCUGGAGAGCUCUCUUCCUGGUUCACGGACGGCACCUUCUGGCUGCGUCCUCACAUGGUGGAAGGGGCGAGGGGGCUCUCUGGGGUCUGUUUCAUUAGGGCGCUGAUCCCAUUCAUGGGGCCUCCACCCUCAUGACCUCAUCACCUCCCAAAGGUCCCGCCAACAAAUACCGUGUGUCUGAGGGUUAGGAUUUCAACACACGAGCUUUGUGGGGGCACAACACUCAGACCACCCAGGAUGUGUAUGCAGGUGGCAUAGCAGGGGCUGGAGGGUGGUCUGUCCAGUCCUACCGUGCAGCCGUCACCCACCUACCCAGCACGAGGCCCGCAGAGUGGGAC
RNAcentral lists this long non-coding RNA (590 nucleotides) under Equus caballus (horse). RNAcentral's name for it is "lncRNA (ENSECAG00000053044.1)". Lineage: Eukaryota; Metazoa; Chordata; Mammalia; Perissodactyla; Equidae. The record is from RNAcentral.